AGCGAACGCUGGCGGCAGGCCUAACACAUGCAAGUCGAACGGACCCUUCGGGGUUAGUGGCGGACGGGUGAGUAACACGUGGGAACGUGCCUUUAGGUUCGGAAUAGCUCCUGGAAACGGGUGGUAAUGCCGAAUGUGCCCUUCGGGGGAAAGAUCUAUCGCCUUUAGAGCGGCCCGCGUCUGAUUAGCUAGUUGGUGAGGUAACGGCUCACCAAGGCGACGAUCAGUAGCUGGUCUGAGAGGAUGACCAGCCACACUGGGACUGAGACACGGCCCAGACUCCUACGGGAGGCAGCAGUGGGGAAUCUUGCGCAAUGGGCGAAAGCCUGACGCAGCCAUGCCGCGUGAAUGAUGAAGGUCUUAGGAUUGUAAAAUUCUUUCACCGGGGACGAUAAUGACGGUACCCGGAGAAGAAGCCCCGGCUAACUUCGUG
Molecule: ribosomal RNA, 433 nt
Filed under: uncultured bacterium
Lineage: Bacteria
Description: partial 16S ribosomal RNA
Rfam family: Bacterial small subunit ribosomal RNA
Source: RNAcentral